RNAcentral lists this non-coding RNA (29 nucleotides) under Homo sapiens (human). Lineage: Eukaryota; Metazoa; Chordata; Mammalia; Primates; Hominidae. The record is from RNAcentral.
ACUCUGAGGCAUGAGAAAGAAGAGGUCCU